This 598-nucleotide unclassified non-coding RNA is filed under the name uncultured Lactarius. RNAcentral describes it as "sequence contains ITS1, 5.8S rRNA gene and ITS2". The stretch from base 138 to 291 matches the Rfam family "5.8S ribosomal RNA". Lineage: Eukaryota; Fungi; Basidiomycota; Agaricomycetes; Russulales; Russulaceae. The record is from RNAcentral.
AAUCCAUCUCACCCUUUGUGCAUCACCGCGUGGGCACCCCUUUGGGAUCAUCUCGGAGGGGGCUCGCGUUUUCACACAAAACCCCCCUUUUAAAAGUGUAGAAUGACCUCAUUUAUGCGCUAACCCGCAAUCAAUACAACUUUCAACAACGGAUCUCUUGGCUCUCGCAUCGAUGAAGAACGCAGCGAAAUGCGAUACGUAAUGUGAAUUGCAGAAUUCAGUGAAUCAUCGAAUCUUUGAACGCACCUUGCGCCCCCUGGUAUUCCGAGGGGCACACCCGUUUGAGUGUCGUGAAAACCUCAACCUCCUUGGUUUCUUCUGGAGACCAAAGCAGGCUUGGACUUUGGAGGCCUUUGCUGGCACCUCUCGCCAGCUCCUCUUAAAUGAAUUAGCAGGGUCCUCUUUGCUGAUCCUCGACGUGUGAUAAGAUGUUUCCAUGUCUUGGUUUCUGGCUCUGUCACCUUUGGGACCCGCUUCUAACCGUCUUCAACCUUGCGUUGAGACAACGUUCGAGCAUGUCUCCCUUCUCGGGAAGCUCCCUCGACCCCACGAACCCUUGACCUCAAAUCGGGUGAGACUACCCGCUGAACUUAAGCAU